UUGAUCCUGGCUCAGGAUGAACGCUAGCGACAGGCCUAACACAUGCAAGUCGAGGGGUAACAUUGGUGCUUGCACCAGAUGACGACCGGCGCACGGGUGCGUAACGCGUAUGAAACUUACCUGUUAAUAAGGGAUAGCCCGAAGAAAUUUGGAUUAAUACCUUAUGGUCUAUUAUCUUCGCAUGUUUAUAAUAGUAAAGAUUUAUCGAUAGCAGAUAGUCAUGCGUGACAUUAGGUAGUUGGUGGAGUAACGGCCCACCAAGCCGACGAUGUCUAGGGGUUCUGAGAGGAAGGUCCCCCACACUGGUACUGAGACACGGACCAGACUCCUACGGGAGGCAGCAGUGAGGAAUAUUGGUCAAUGGACGCAAGUCUGAACCAGCCAUGUCGCGACGGCCCUAUGGGUCUUAAACUGCUUUUAUACGGGAAGAAAGGGGAGUAUUAAUACUCUUAUAUGCCGGUACCGUAUGAAUAAGCAUCGGCUAACUCCGUGCCAGCAGCCGCGGUAAUACGGAGGAUGCGAGCGUUAUCCGGAUUUAUUGGGUUUAAAGGGUGCGUAACACUGCCAUUGAUACUGUUAUUCUUGAAUUAAGUUGAGGUAUGCGGAAUGUGUUAAGUAGCGGUGAAAUGCAUAGAUAUAACACAGAACACCAAUUGCGAAGGCAGCAUACUAAGUUUAUAUUGACGCUGAUGCACGAAAGCGCGGGUAGCGAACAGGAUUAGAUACCCUGGUAGUCCGCGCCGUAAACGAUGAUUACUGGUUGUUGGCGAUAGACAGUCAGCGACUGAGCGAAAGCAUUAAGUAAUCCACCUGGGGAGUACGUUGGCAACAAUGAAACUCAAAGGAAUUGACGGGGGCGUAACAAGAGAUUGUUAUUUCUUCGGACAAUAUACAAGGUGCUGCAUGGUUGUCGUCAGCUCGUGCCGUGAGGUGUCGGGUUAAGUCCCAUAACGAGCGCAACCCCAAUUGUUAGUUACUAGCGAGUAGUGUCGAGGACUCUAGCAAGACUGCCGGUGUAAACCGCGAGGAAGGUUGGGAUGACGUCAAAUCAGCACGGCCCUUACGUUCGGGGCUACACACGUGUUACAAUGGUCGAUACAAAGGGCAGCUACCCGGUGACGGGAUGCUAAUCUCAAAAGUCGGUCUCAGUUCGGAUCGAAGUCUGCAACUCGACUUCGUGAAGCUGGAUUCGCUAGUAAUCGCGCAUCAGCCAUGGCGCGGUGAAUACGUUCCCGGGCCUUG
This 1242-nucleotide ribosomal RNA is filed under the name oral metagenome. Its description in RNAcentral is "bacterial SSU rRNA". It matches the Rfam family "Bacterial small subunit ribosomal RNA", at positions 13 to 1383 of the family's 1533-position model. The record is from RNAcentral.